Molecule: ribosomal RNA, 426 nt
Filed under: Onchocerca dewittei dewittei
Lineage: Eukaryota; Metazoa; Nematoda; Chromadorea; Rhabditida; Onchocercidae
Description: partial small subunit ribosomal RNA
Source: RNAcentral
UUUUGAUUUAUUUUUUAAGUUAUUUUUGUAAAAUGUUUUAAUUUGUUUUUUUUUCUUAGGGUGUUAAAAGUUUGUUUUUUGAACUGGAUUAGUACCCAGGUAAUCAAAAUUAAUUAAUUCGGGAGUAAAGUUUUGUUUAAACCGAAAAAAUAUUGACUGACUUUAGAUUUUUCUUUGGAACAUGUGUUUUUUGGAGAGCCCUCCUUUUUAGUUAUUUUUAUCGGCACAUGUAUGAUUGUUUAGUUUUUAUUUUAUUUUGUAAUGCUUUUUUUGUUUUUUACAUUUAAAACAGAUAUAUAUUUGGCUUAUGAAUUUAUUUUUCAUGUGUUACUAUUAUGAAUUGUUUUGGAUUGAUUUUUUAUUUUUUUUUUGAAAUUGGAAAAGAAAGUAAUUUUUUUUUGAUGUUAUAGUGAAUUAAAUAAAUAA